Molecule: ribosomal RNA, 222 nt
Filed under: uncultured bacterium
Lineage: Bacteria
Description: partial 16S ribosomal RNA
Rfam family: Bacterial small subunit ribosomal RNA
Source: RNAcentral
AAUCUCGAAAGCCUAUCUCAGUUCGGAUUGGAGGCUGAAACCCGCCUCCAUGAAGUUGGAUUCGCUAGUAAUCGCGCAUCAGCCAUGGCGCGGUGAAUACGUUCCCGGGCCUUGUACACACCGCCCGUCAAGCCAUGGGAGCUGGGGGUGCCUGAAGUUCGUGACCGCAAGGAUCGACCUAGGGCAAAACUGGUGACUGGGGCUAAGUCGUAACAAGGUACC